AGAGUUUGAUCCUGGCUCAGGAUGAACGCUGGCGGCGUGCCUAACACAUGCAAGUCGAGCGAUUUACUUCGGUAAAGAGCGGCGGACGGGUGAGUAACGCGUGGGUAACCUGCCUCAUACACAUGGAUAACAUACCGAAAGGUAUGCUAAUACAGGAUAAUAUAAGAGAUUCACAUGGAUUUCUUAUCAAAGCUCCGGCGGCAUGAGAUGGACCCGCGUCUGAUUAGCUAGUUGGUAAGGUAAUGGCUUACCAAGGCGACGAUCAGUAGCCGACCUGAGAGGGUGAUCGGCCACAUUGGAACUGAGACACGGUCCAAACUCCUACGGGAGGCAGCAGUGGGGAAUAUUGCACAAUGGGCGAAAGCCUGAUGCAGCAACGCCGCGUGAGUGAUGAAGGCCUUCGGGUCGUAAAACUCUGUCCUCAAGGAAGAUAAUGACGGUACUUGAGGAGGAAGCCCCGGCUAACUACGUGCCAGCCGCCGC
This 483-nucleotide ribosomal RNA is filed under the name uncultured bacterium. RNAcentral describes it as "bacterial SSU rRNA". It matches the Rfam family "Bacterial small subunit ribosomal RNA", at positions 8 to 518 of the family's 1533-position model. The record is from RNAcentral.